GAGGGUAUAGCUCAGACGUAGAUUGUGUGCUUAGCAUGCACAAGGUCCUGGGUUCUAUCCCCCGUAUCUACA
Molecule: transfer RNA, 72 nt
Filed under: Camelus ferus (Wild Bactrian camel)
Lineage: Eukaryota; Metazoa; Chordata; Mammalia; Artiodactyla; Camelidae
Rfam family: tRNA
About the family: Transfer RNA (tRNA) molecules are approximately 80 nucleotides in length. Their secondary structure includes four short double-helical elements and three loops (D, anti-codon, and T loops). Further hydrogen bonds mediate the characteristic L-shaped molecular structure. tRNAs have two regions of fundamental functional importance: the anti-codon, which is responsible for specific mRNA codon recognition, and the 3' end, to which the tRNAs corresponding amino acid is attached (by aminoacyl-tRNA synthetases). tRNAs cope with the degeneracy of the genetic code in two manners: having more than one tRNA (with a specific anti-codon) for a particular amino acid; and 'wobble' base-pairing, i.e. permitting non-standard base-pairing at the 3rd anti-codon position.
Source: Rfam by way of RNAcentral